This 376-nucleotide ribosomal RNA is filed under the name Vibrio sp. AmSamW60. RNAcentral describes it as "bacterial SSU rRNA". It matches the Rfam family "Bacterial small subunit ribosomal RNA", at positions 78 to 460 of the family's 1533-position model. The record is from RNAcentral. Lineage: Bacteria; Pseudomonadati; Pseudomonadota; Gammaproteobacteria; Vibrionales; Vibrionaceae.
GAUAACGGCGUCGAGCGGCGGACGGGUGAGUAAUGCCUAGGAAAUUGCCUUGAUGUGGGGGAUAACCAUUGGAAACGAUGGCUAAUACCGCAUGAUGCCUACGGGCCAAAGAGGGGGACCUUCGGGCCUCUCGCGUCAAGAUAUGCCUAGGUGGGAUUAGCUAGUUGGUGAGGUAAUGGCUCACCAAGGCGACGAUCCCUAGCUGGUCUGAGAGGAUGAUCAGCCACACUGGAACUGAGACACGGUCCAGACUCCUACGGGAGGCAGCAGUGGGGAAUAUUGCACAAUGGGCGCAAGCCUGAUGCAGCCAUGCCGCGUGUAUGAAGAAGGCCUUCGGGUUGUAAAGUACUUUCAGCAGUGAGGAAGGGGGUGUCGU